This is a long non-coding RNA of Hyla sarda, 422 nucleotides long. RefSeq lists it as uncharacterized. The record is from RefSeq and is a predicted model, not a curated record. NCBI's taxonomy places the organism in Eukaryota, Metazoa, Chordata, Amphibia, Anura, Hylidae. The transcript is spliced from 3 exons.
UGGGCAUGCUGGUAGUUGUAGUUUUGCAACAUCUGAAGGGCAACAGCUUGAAGAAUAUUGCUAUUAACCUAAAAGCUAGAUGCACCCAGUGUCAUCUCUCGGGCCGUCUUGGCGUAUCCAUUCUGCAGGAGAUGCUGGUAAAUGAGCGGCAGCAGACCCCUGACACGCACCAUGAUGACAACCCUCCGAGCAGCUCAGCUACUCUCCCACAGCCACCACGUGCUUCCUGUAACGCUACUUCCGGGUGCGUCUCUCCAGGAGAAUUAUGGGACGAGACCAAAGGUAACACUAAUGGGCGAUGAGCCAGAUGAAAUCCAGGACUCCAUGCUCAGAUUCCAAAGUUAUUGAAAAGUAAUCUAUCAAAAAGUGAUACAGUUUCUUUAAUUUCUUCUUUUUUUUUUAUUAUAGUUCUUAGACUACCC